UGGCAAGGGUGGCAAAGGUGGCAAGGGUGGCAAGGGUGGCAAAGGUGGCAAGAGUGGCAAGGGUGGCAAGGGUGGCAAGGGUGGCAAGGGUGGCAAGAGUGGCAAAGGUGGCAAGGGUGGCAAAGGUGGCAAGGGUGGCAAUACCGUAAACCUCUGACUGAGACGAAACCGAAUUAUAAAAGAUAUUGAUUAUCAUGGUCUCGUCAAUUAAAAUAACCAAAAUAGUGAAAGAUAGAGAACACAUAUGUCACAAAACACAAUAUAAGACUCAGAGUGAUAGAAGUACAUGUCCUUGUUCUAUUUUAUUUUAGCGAUAUUUUGGUUUACGAAAAUAGAAUACUGAUUAUUUUUAAUAUUUACGUUGGAUUAUGGUUGAUUUAGAAACCCCCUAACAGGGCCUAAAUAGAUAAAAGCUGAUUCUCGUUAUUACAUGCUCAAGUACAACUCCUGUACAACUCCUGAUGAUUGUACAUUUGGU
Molecule: non-coding RNA, 478 nt
Organism: Paramuricea clavata
Lineage: Eukaryota; Metazoa; Cnidaria; Anthozoa; Malacalcyonacea; Plexauridae
Source: the annotation of a GenBank genome assembly